GGGCCAUUAGCUCAAUUGGCAGAGCAGCGGACUCUUAAUCCGUUGGUUCAAGGUUCGACUCCUUGAUGGCCCACCA
RNAcentral lists this transfer RNA (76 nucleotides) under Oceanidesulfovibrio indonesiensis. Its description in RNAcentral is "Desulfovibrio indonesiensis tRNA-Lys". It matches the Rfam family "tRNA". Rfam says of the family: Transfer RNA (tRNA) molecules are approximately 80 nucleotides in length. Their secondary structure includes four short double-helical elements and three loops (D, anti-codon, and T loops). RNAcentral also lists the same sequence under 2 other names. The record is from RNAcentral. Lineage: Bacteria; Pseudomonadati; Thermodesulfobacteriota; Desulfovibrionia; Desulfovibrionales; Desulfovibrionaceae.